GUGGGUGUUGCCCAGGCUGUGUCCUCCUGUGGCCUUAGCAAAGUGGGAGCCGCUCUGUGCCUACAGGAGAGGCUUUGUGAGGCUGAAGAGGACACUGGGAGGUGAGGACAGAGGGGUUCAUAGAGAUUCCUCAGGAAUGACUCGAGCCCUCCCACCCAAGGCCCACCAGCCGCCAACCGUGUGUUGCGGAAGAGACAACCAUCGGUAAUUACGCCGCGGGAUCGGAGGGCUUUAACAGUCAGUUCCUGAACCUUGACAAGCUGCAGUCUGCUUUCAAGACUGACGACUUCCUGAACUGGCAUGCCCUCAGUGAUAUGUUCAAAAAGGCGUUUCCUUUCAUCAACUGGGAAUUCUUCCCUAAGGUAAAAGGACUGAGAAGUGCAGUUCCCGAUUCCCAGUGAUCAUUCUCUUUAAGACCUAGGACCUAGGCUGACCCCACGGAGAGGAGGCUAGCGUAAAAUCCGACGUCCAUUCUACGGCAAAUCUCCCCUGGCUCUGUACCUCCAAUAAAGUGUUUUCCACCAGUCGA
Myodes glareolus (Bank vole) is the source of this 529-nucleotide non-coding RNA. The record is from RefSeq and is a predicted model, not a curated record. Lineage: Eukaryota; Metazoa; Chordata; Mammalia; Rodentia; Cricetidae.